Cyanistes caeruleus (blue tit) is the source of this 567-nucleotide non-coding RNA. Lineage: Eukaryota; Metazoa; Chordata; Aves; Passeriformes; Paridae. The record is from RefSeq and is a predicted model, not a curated record.
GCCAAUUGUGCCCUCCAGGGCCUUGCCAGCUCUCCAAGGUGCCAAGCACUCAGGAGGUCACUGUGUGUGUGUGGAAAGCACAUGCUUGGGUGCACUUGGCAGCUCCAGGGCUCAGACAGCCUCUGCUGAAGAUGCCAUCAUGACUCAGUAAAGAACUGUUGAUGUGCAGUAGCCAAAGAGGAAAAGCUGACAGCUUGGAGGCAGUGACCAGCAACCAGCUCUGUGUGACCCUUCAGGAAGGAACAUGUGAUGCUGCUCUUUGCCUCGGUGAGGAUGAAGAUUUGAGGACUGAAGGGGUGGGACAGUUCCUAGUGGUGCAGAGCGAGGAGGAUGUGCCUGACUGCAGCCUGAGACCAGAGCAUCAUGCUGUGGUGAAGCAGCAAGUUGAGGAACAAGUGAGAGCUCAGAGUAGUCAUUAAGAAGAUGGUGAUUUCUGCAUGGAAAAGAUGAUGGAAUGAGAACCACAGGAUGGUCUUCCACAGCUGGUCCUAUCCCUGAUCUAGACAAAAGGAAAGCCCAGUUCCUGAGGGCAUUUUUUAAGGACCAGGCAGGACAGAGACACAGGUU